CUUUUAAAAUUUGGAAAGCAUAAAAAAUUACUCCCUCCAUUUCACAAUAUAAGUUGUUUUGGACUAACUUUUUUGUUUCACAAUAUAAAUUGUUUUCAAGUUUCUAUGCAAAUUAUAUAUUAUUUUAAUAUUUUAUGAUUAUUUCUAUUAUGCAGUCUCUUUUAUAAUUGGUUGAAGUUUUUAAAAGUAAAUAUUCUUAAUUUGUGUGCUUUUAGCUAAAACAACUUAUAUUGUGAAAACGGAGGGAGUAUGUAAACUGGAAUCCAAGAGAAUUCCAUGGAAGUGAGAGCUUUUCUUUGC
This 300-nucleotide small RNA is filed under the name Arabidopsis thaliana (thale cress). RNAcentral describes it as "ATSL306830". The record is from RNAcentral. Lineage: Eukaryota; Viridiplantae; Streptophyta; Magnoliopsida; Brassicales; Brassicaceae.